RNAcentral lists this ribosomal RNA (460 nucleotides) under uncultured bacterium. Its description in RNAcentral is "partial 16S ribosomal RNA". It matches the Rfam family "Bacterial small subunit ribosomal RNA", at positions 338 to 795 of the family's 1533-position model. The record is from RNAcentral.
CCUACGGGAGGCAGCAGUGAGGAAUAUUGGUCAAUGGACGGAAGUCUGAACCAGCCAUGCCGCGUGCAGGAAGACGGCCCUCUGAGUUGUAAACUGCUUUUGUACAAGGGUAAACCUGAAUACGUGUAUUCAGCUGAAAGUACCGUACGAAUAAGGAUCGGCUAACUCCGUGCUAGCAGCCGCGGUAAUACGGAGGAUCCAAGCGUUAUCCGGAUGUAUUGGGUUUAAGGGGUGCGUAGGCGGAUUGAUAAGUUAGAGGUGAAAGCUCCGAGCUUAACUCGGGAACUGCCUCUAGUACUGUUAGACUAGAGAGUAGAAGCGGUAGGCGGAAUGUAUGGUGUAGCGGUGAAAUGCUUAGAGAUCAUACAGAACACCGAUUGCGAAGGCAGCUUACCAAGCUAUAUCUGACGUUGAGGCGCGAAAGCGUGGGGAGCGAACAGGAUUAGAUACCCCGGUAGUC